Molecule: transfer RNA, 39 nt
Filed under: Polymnia canadensis
Lineage: Eukaryota; Viridiplantae; Streptophyta; Magnoliopsida; Asterales; Asteraceae
Description: partial tRNA-Leu
Source: RNAcentral
AAUCCGUCGAUUUCAAAAAUCAUGAGGGUCCAAGUCCCU